RNAcentral lists this ribosomal RNA (465 nucleotides) under Vreelandella stevensii. Its description in RNAcentral is "partial 16S ribosomal RNA". It matches the Rfam family "Bacterial small subunit ribosomal RNA", at positions 338 to 795 of the family's 1533-position model. Lineage: Bacteria; Pseudomonadati; Pseudomonadota; Gammaproteobacteria; Oceanospirillales; Halomonadaceae. The record is from RNAcentral.
CCUACGGGAGGCAGCAGUGGGGAAUAUUGGACAAUGGGGGCAACCCUGAUCCAGCCAUGCCGCGUGUGUGAAGAAGGCCCUCGGGUUGUAAAGCACUUUCAGUGAGGAAGAACGCCUGGUGGUUAAUACCCAUCAGGAAAGACAUCACUCACAGAAGAAGCACCGGCUAACUCCGUGCCAGCAGCCGCGGUAAUACGGAGGGUGCGAGCGUUAAUCGGAAUUACUGGGCGUAAAGCGCGCGUAGGUGGCUUGAUAAGCCGGUUGUGAAAGCCCCGGGCUCAACCUGGGAACGGCAUCCGGAACUGUCAAGCUAGAGUGCAGGAGAGGAAGGUAGAAUUCCCGGUGUAGCGGUGAAAUGCGUAGAGAUCGGGAGGAAUACCAGUGGCGAAGGCGGCCUUCUGGACUGACACUGACACUGAGGUGCGAAAGCGUGGGUAGCAAACAGGAUUAGAUAGCCGUGUAGUC